UGGGGAAUUUUGGACAAUGGGCGCAAGCCUGAUCCAGCCAUGCCGCGUGUCUGAAGAAGGCCUUCGGGUUGUAAAGGACUUUUGUCAGGGAAGAAAAGGCUGUUGCUAAUAUCGGCGGCUGAUGACGGUACCUGAAGAAUAAGCACCGGCUAACUACGUGCCAGCAGCCGCGGUAAUACGUAGGGUGCAAGCGUUAAUCGGAAUUACUGGACGUAAAGCGAGCGCAGACGGUUACUUAAGCAGGAUGUGAAAUCCCCGGGCUCAACCUGGGAACUGCGUUCUGAACUGGGUGACUAGAGUGUGUCAGAGGGAGGUAGAAUUCCACGUGUAGCAGUGAAAUGCGUAGAGAUGUGGAGGAAUACCGAUGGCGAAGGCAGCCUCCUGGGAUAACACUGACGUUCAUGCUCGAAAGCGUGGGUAGCAAACAGGAUUAGAUACCCUGGUAGUCCACGCCCUAAACGAUGUCAAUUAGCUGUUGGGCAACUUGAUUGUUCAGUAGCGUAGCUAACGCGUGAAAUUGACCGCCUGGGGAGUACGGUCGCAAGAUUA
RNAcentral lists this ribosomal RNA (549 nucleotides) under uncultured bacterium. RNAcentral's name for it is "bacterial SSU rRNA". It matches the Rfam family "Bacterial small subunit ribosomal RNA", at positions 355 to 896 of the family's 1533-position model. The record is from RNAcentral.